Molecule: ribosomal RNA, 496 nt
Filed under: uncultured bacterium
Lineage: Bacteria
Description: partial 16S ribosomal RNA
Rfam family: Bacterial small subunit ribosomal RNA
Source: RNAcentral
GAUGAACGCUGGCGGCGUGCCUAAUACAUGCAAGUCGAGCGAACAGACGAGGAGCUUGCUCCUCUGACGUUAGCGGCGGACGGGUGAGUAACACGUGGAUAACCUACCUAUAAGACUGGGAUAACUUCGGGAAACCGGAGCUAAUACCGGAUAAUAUAUUGAACCGCAUGGUUCAAUAGUGAAAGACGGUUUUGCUGUCACUUAUAGAUGGAUCCGCGCCGCAUUAGCUAGUUGGUAAGGUAACGGCUUACCAAGGCGACGAUGCGUAGCCGACCUGAGAGGGUGAUCGGCCACACUGGAACUGAGACACGGUCCAGACCCCUACGGGAGGCAGCAGUAGGGAAUCUUCCGCAAUGGGCGAAAGCCUGACGGAGCAACGCCGCGUGAGUGAUGAAGGUCUCCGGAUCGUAAAACUCUGUUAUUAGGAAAGAACAAAUGUGUAAGUAACUAUGCACGUCUUGACGGUACCUAAUCAGAAAGCCACGGCUAACUACGU